RNAcentral lists this ribosomal RNA (466 nucleotides) under Vreelandella stevensii. RNAcentral's name for it is "partial 16S ribosomal RNA". It matches the Rfam family "Bacterial small subunit ribosomal RNA", at positions 337 to 795 of the family's 1533-position model. The record is from RNAcentral. Lineage: Bacteria; Pseudomonadati; Pseudomonadota; Gammaproteobacteria; Oceanospirillales; Halomonadaceae.
GACUACCGGUUGCAGCAGUGGGGAAUAUUGGACAAUGGGCGAAAGCCUGAUCCAGCCAUGCCGCGUGUGUGAAGAAGGCCUUCGGGUUGUAAAGCACUUUCAGUGGGGAAGAAAGCCUUGGGGCUAAUACCCUCGAGGAAGGACAUCACCCACAGAAGAAGCACCGGCUAACUCCGUGCCAGCAGCCGCGGUAAUACGGAGGGUGCGAGCGUUAAUCGGAAUUACUGGGCGUAAAGCGCGCGUAGGCGGUCUGAUAAGCCGGUUGUGAAAGCCCCGGGCUCAACCUGGGAACGGCAUCCGGAACUGUCAGGCUAGAGUGCAGGAGAGGAAGGUAGAAUUCCCGGUGUAGCGGUGAAAUGCGUAGAGAUCGGGAGGAAUACCAGUGGCGAAGGCGGCCUUCUGGACUGACACUGACGCUGAGGUGCGAAAGCGUGGGUAGCAAACAGGAUUAGAUACCCCAGUAGUC